CGUAGGGGGCAAGCGUUGUCCGGAUUUAUUGGGCGUAAAGAGCGUGUAGGCGGCCAGGUAGGUCUGCUGUGAAAACUCGAGGCUUAACCUCGAGAUGUCGGCGGAAACCAUCUGGCUAGAGUCCGGAAGAGGAGAGCGGAAUUCCUGGUGUAGCGGUGAAAUGCGCAGAUAUCAGGAGGAACACCCGUGGCGAAGGCGGCUCUCUGGUACGUGACUGACGCUGAGACGCGAAAGCGUGGGGAGCAAACAGGAUUAGAUACCCUGGUAGUCCACGCCGUAAACGAUGGGUGCUAGGUGUGGGCGGUGUCGACUCCGUCCGUGCCGAAGCUAACGCAUUAAGCACCCCGCCUGGGGAGUACGGCCGCAAGGCUA
Molecule: ribosomal RNA, 372 nt
Filed under: uncultured organism
Description: bacterial SSU rRNA
Rfam family: Bacterial small subunit ribosomal RNA
Source: RNAcentral